This 109-nucleotide small nuclear RNA is filed under the name Oryza sativa Indica Group (long-grained rice). RNAcentral describes it as "U5 spliceosomal RNA". RNAcentral also lists the same sequence under 1 other name. The record is from RNAcentral. Lineage: Eukaryota; Viridiplantae; Streptophyta; Magnoliopsida; Poales; Poaceae.
UGCUUUGAAGUCUAUAUAGAUACAAUAUGAAAAUUUUAACUGCAAAUUUCAAAUAUAUAGAGAAAAAUGUUUAAAUUUAUUUGUGGGGACCUCCUCAAAAGAGUCGGUU